This 289-nucleotide small RNA is filed under the name Ictidomys tridecemlineatus (thirteen-lined ground squirrel). RNAcentral describes it as "7SK RNA (ENSSTOG00000028848.1)". It matches the Rfam family "7SK RNA". Rfam says of the family: 7SK was discovered as an abundant small nuclear RNA in the mid-70s but a possible function has only recently been suggested. Two independent studies have found that 7SK RNA binds the CDK9/cyclin T complex (known as elongation factor P-TEFb). The record is from RNAcentral. Lineage: Eukaryota; Metazoa; Chordata; Mammalia; Rodentia; Sciuridae.
AGAUGUAAGGGUGAUCUGGCUGUGACAUCUGUCACCCAGCUGAUUGCCAGGGAUGAUUUGGCUGAUCUGGCUGGCUAGACGGGUGUCCCCUUCUGCCUCCCACUCAGUGUGCAUCCCUCCUAAAGCUGCAUGUUGUCGAAGAGGAGGACCAUUCUCCUGCAGGGUAUGUGAGUAGCCAUGCUCCCCUGCUAGAACCUACAAACAAGCUCUCAAGGUCCAUUUUUGCUUGUUAUUAUAUCCCUUGCCCCUAAAAAAAGUGCCUGACAACAAGUAAAUACUUGUUAAAUGA